This 24-nucleotide non-coding RNA is filed under the name Drosophila melanogaster (fruit fly). Lineage: Eukaryota; Metazoa; Arthropoda; Insecta; Diptera; Drosophilidae. The record is from RNAcentral.
CGGACAGAGACGGCGCAUUUUCCA